This 344-nucleotide unclassified non-coding RNA is filed under the name soil metagenome. RNAcentral's name for it is "partial contains 5.8S ribosomal RNA, internal transcribed spacer 2, and large subunit ribosomal RNA". The stretch from base 1 to 121 matches the Rfam family "5.8S ribosomal RNA", at positions 35 to 154 of the family's 154-position model. The record is from RNAcentral.
GAUGAAGAACGCAGCGAAAUGCGAUAAGUAAUGCGAAUUGCAGAAUUUCCGUGAAUCAUCGAAUCUUUGAACGCACAUUGCGCCCGCCAGCAUUCUGGCGGGCAUGCCUGUUCGAGCGUCAUUUCAACCCUCGACCUCCCCUUGGGGAGGUCGGCGUUGGGGACCGGCAGCACACCGCCGGCCCUGAAAUGGAGUGGCGGCCCGUCCGCGGCGACCUCUGCGCAGUAAUACAGCUCGCACCGGGACCCCGACGCGGCCACGCCGUAAAACACCCAACUUCUGAACGUUGACCUCGAAUCAGGUAGGACUACCCGCUGAACUUAAGCAUAUCAAUAAGCGGAGGA